RNAcentral lists this ribosomal RNA (301 nucleotides) under uncultured bacterium. Its description in RNAcentral is "partial 16S ribosomal RNA". It matches the Rfam family "Bacterial small subunit ribosomal RNA", at positions 509 to 807 of the family's 1533-position model. The record is from RNAcentral.
CAGUAGCCGCGGUAACACGUAGGGUGCAAGCGUUAAUCGGAAUUACUGGGCGUAAAGCGUGCGCAGGCGGUUUGUUAAGACAGAUGUGAAAUCCCCGGGCUCAACCUGGGAACUGCAUUUGUGACUGGCAGGCUAGAGUAUGGCAGAGGGGGGUGGAAUUCCGCGUGUAGCAGUGAAAUGCGUAGAUAUGCGGAGGAACACCGAUGGCGAAGGCAGCCCCCUGGGCCAAUAUUGACGCUCAUGCACGAAAGCGUGGGGAGCAAACAGGAUUAGAUACCCCCGUAGUCCCUGUCUCUUAUAC